UUUAUUAUUUAUUAUUUAUUAUUUAUUAUUUAUUAUUUAUUAUUUAUUAUUUAUUAUUUAUUUAUACAUGUUCCUUUGUUUUUCUGCACUCAUAUAAAAUGGAAGUGGCCUUAGGCCAUGACUUGUUGGUAUAAUUCAUUUACGUCAAGCUUUGUGCUGGUCAAACUAUCAGCUUUCUUGGGAGCAUCAUUUUAGAUUACUUUAUACUCUAUUUGCAGUUGUGAUCAGGAGGUUAUGUUUCUAAUGCUCGAAUAAUCUAAUGCUGAAUUGUUGAUUAUUAAUGUUGGAGAAUUUUUCAAACUGCUGCUUCUUGAUGUUGAAUCAUUGGUGUUCGGUAGUUCUGCUCUUCUUGUAAUUGAUGAUUGUUGCAGUUCAGGGGUAUUGGCUGAAAUGAUGGCGGCAAAUACUAGUUACUUUGAUAAGUACUCUUUCCCUGGGCAGGAUGUUAGUUUACCUUCAAUUCUGUUUAGUUUCAACCAAACCUGCUUUAAUUUCUUGUUUUAUUCCUAGAUAGCAAAUUGGUGGAUGAGCAAUUUUGAUGUAGCCAAACAAUCCCUUUUGCUUCUUUUGCAAGUAGAUUGAGUCUGCUGGAAAGAGUUGGAAAUAGGUUCUUUGUAUAUCAUAUUGAUCUAUUGAGCUGUUUGAUUAAGUUAAGCGGUUCUUUUCAUUUUGCUGUUUGACUUAAUGUGCUGCUUGAAGUCACAAAUUUUUGCAGAGGCUUUCUUAUCCUGCUGCUUUCAUGUUGGCCUUGCAGAGCUGUCUCUUGCUUCUAUGUUGAUUGGCAAUUUGUGAGGCAACUUUGGGAGUUUAUGAAAUAGUAUGGCGGAUGGCUGUGUUCUACAUGUCUACCUCUACAAUUUUGUGAUUAUGAACAUACAGCUCUGUUUUCAUUGAACUUGUUCCUUAUCACUAGGUGCAUGUGAGUGAUGUGAUGCUGCCUGCAUCAGGGAUUUAUAUUUUGUUCUGCGGCUUACCUGCUUGAGGAAGAUUAAGUUCGGCUACUGUGUAUUCCCGAGCUCUGCUUUGAAUCUUUGAUGCUUUGACAUUGACAUUGGAUUCACUUGUUAAGAGGCCUGAUGGUGAUUGUUUUGGGGUCCAACUGUUUUAAUUUUAGGCACUAUAUCAUGUGGUGAGGUCAGUGGUUGGUAUGUGCUAUGAUUACGUGUUCAUGAAUGUUAUUUUCUGGUUUGAAGGCCUGUCCUGUAUUGGCGGUAGUAGGCAUGUGACAUGUUUAGUUUUGGCGCUAGUUAAAAAGAUCUCUUGAAUUACAUUAUCCUCUACUUUAGGUUCAUUCUUAUUGUAUCCAUCUCUAUGUGGGAGUUGCAAGGUAUGACCAGCAAAUAAGUUUUAAGCUUUAUCGUAUUACAAAUGGAUUCUUUCAAGAUGGUUCAACUUGGUUACAGAUAAUGUUCUAGAAUUUGUUAAAAAGAUGAAUGGAAUACAACCCCCAAACUUUGCGUUCUACAGUAUGAAUAGUUCUUGAGCUUUGUGAGCUACAUGUUCAUGGUUAAAUUUUGCUAUAAAUGUACCUAUUUAUUUUUUUCAUCAAAAUCUAAUUGGCUCAUUCUUUAUUUUUCCUCCCACUGAUUAUUGUGGAAUUUAUGUUUGUGGCUCACGCUAAUUUUUUUUUGAUGGGUUAGUAGUCUUAGAUUGGUUAUGCACCUAAUUACAUGGUAGUUGGCUGGUUGCAGCAGACUGGGAUUCGAGUAAUCUGUGGUUAAAGUUUCUGGCAGGCUCCACUUAACACUCUUCUGUAGAUUUUAUGGUGUGAUACAUGUUCAUGGUUAACUUUUGCUAUAAAUGUAACUAUUUAUUUUUUUCAUCAAAAUCUAAUUGGCUCAUUCUUUAUUUUUCCUCCCUCUGAUUAUUGUGGAAUUUAUGUUUGUGGCUUGCGCUAAAUUUUUUUUGAUGGAUUAGUAGUCUUGGAUUGGUUUUGCACCUAAUUUCCACGGUAGUUGGCUGGUUGCUGCAGACUGGGAUUCGAGAAAUUUGUGGUUAAAGUUUCUGGCAGGCUCCACUUGACACUUUUCUGCAGAUUUUAUGGGGUGAUACAAAUAGAAUCUCUGUGGUUUCUUGGAAUUUCUUAGCCUGUAGAGCUUCUGUCUACAUCAUUUAGAAUAUUUUAUAAAGGAAAUAUGCUGUUAGGUGUAUCUAGUGAUUCCACAUCAACAUUGACUUGACACUUUUGCGUUGGACUCGACUGAUUAAGCUGUUAGGUGUAUCUAGUGGUUUUCACAUCGACAUUAUGGACUUUAUGAGCUGGUUAAUCUGGUAUCUUCAUUUUUGUUUUGAUGCAGCCAAUUCACUUGUAUCUUGUAGAUUUCUGUGUUUCUAUUUAAUUAAAAUAUUAUCUUGUAAUCUGGUAUCUUCAUAUCUAGCUGUUGAUUUUAUGAUAAGACAGGUCUGUUUAGAAAAAUUACAUGAGAUGGUGCCAAUGACUUUCUUGGCUUUAUUACAUUUAUUUCCAUUGCUUAAUGGUCUGGUUUCCAUUUCUAUGGUCUUCUUGAUCAUAUGAUAUAGCUGAUGUUGGGAGUAUUUUUAUGGUGAUAAUGACUUUUAGUUAUUGCUGUGUCCUCUUAUGUCUCUGCUCUCCUCAAUCUUCUGUUCUUCAUAGUUGCCAUAUUUACGUUGAUUGGUUUUCCCUAUGGUUUUUUUUUUCUAAAUGGAAUCAUCUGUACUGGGUCUGUGUUCCACACCACAUAGUUUCAGAUUCAAUUUUCUAUUGCUUUUUCCGUUGACGUGACAUUUUAUGAAUGGCAUGAUGGUGAAAUAUGAGGGCUCUACUCCAUAUAGGGUGUCAUUUAUACAAAUUGCAGUUUAUUUGAUUGUUUUUUUAUUUGAACUUUCUUUACUUACAUUUAGUUUGCUGGGGUGGUCAAUUAACACCACCUUGAUUGUGUGAUAGAAAGAUGCUUAGUAAUUAUUUGCUUACAAUUUGCUCCCACUGAUGGAGUUGGGCUGCUCUUCUCUUUAUCUAUCACGGUCUAUGUUUCUAUCUUCUUUUUUAAUCUAUAUUGCAUCUGCUUCAAGGAAAGUUCAGGUCCUCGUCAAUUGUUAACAGGACUCUCCAGCCUUAAGAAUAUGUGGUCUGGUAAUGUUAGUGAGUUUUAGGGUUGCCUUGAUCAUGGAUAUUUUGCUUAUUGUAUUUUGAGCUCUAAUUUGCGAAUUUGUCCUUGAUUAUACUGUCAAUAUGUCAUUUGUGAUUAUGGGGUGGCAAGUUGUGCUAAGUUCAUCUCUAUCCUAUCUUCUGAAAUUUUACCUUUUCUUGUUUCUGCUGCCCAAGCAUCUUCUCGCGCUGUACUUUAUUAAGCAUGCAUUUUUGCUUCAGCCUUCAGGUUCAUGCUUCAUCUUAUGAUUUUAUAGGUUCAGGUUCAGGUUUUUUAUUUUAUUUUUUUUGGUACUUGGCUUAAUGCCUGUAGCUUUGAUGAUCUGUGGUACUGACAUUGCUUUGGCAUCGCAUUGGGAUUUCAUGAAAUUGAAGGUUGGAGUUCUUCUGAGCUCUAUCGUGAAUGCAUCCUGACAGUGUCAACUAGUUUGCAGCGCGACAUUACGUGUAACAUAGCCCCUUUCUUGUCAUUUAAAUAAUCUAGUGAGUUUCUAAUCCUUUACUUGGAUUUGUUUCUCGCCAGCUUCUUUUGGUGUUACAGUGGUUGGAGUUCUCAAUGGCUUGCAUCAUUCUUUUGGUGCGUGCUUGUAGAUUAUGGUUUCUUGAACUCAGGUUAAUGGGUUUUGCCUAUCGUUGUGCUGAUGACUGCUUGGAUUUGCUCUUCUAAGGAGCUUGCACAUUUCGGGUUUAUGUUGCUCUAGUUUUUGACUAUUUGGUGUAACGCUGUGACUACUGGAUAUUCACAUUCGAUGAUGAUAUUUUUAUGUUCAAUUAAUCUUACGGCCUUGGUGAUAUCAGGGUCAUGUUCUAUUGGAUUGGGUUUAAAUUUGUUGGGAAGUUUUAGGUGAAGGUGGAUCCUCAGGUUGUUGCAAUCAUGCAUUUUGGGAAGAUGUGAUGGAUACAUAUUAAGAAUUUUGUACAUGAAAGGUUUACUUCUCUAUUAUUUUCAGUUGGGGGAAAGUAAAAUGACUUGGGGUAUUGGUUUGUUUAUGUUGAUGUGAAUCUGUGAUAUGAAGAUUUUUGCAGCUCGAAGGAGGAAAAGCACGGAGUUCUGCUUCUGGUUUUAUGUUGGAUUUGUCUGCUGUCCCCGUAUUGUCGUCAUUGUGCAUGCUAUUGUUUUAGUUACUUCUGUAAUGGUGUGUUUGUAGGCAUGAAGCGCUGGCUUUUGCUUUUGCUUUUCAUUUGGAAGUUGAUUUAUGAUUGAACCAGGGAUGUCUGCUGAAAAGGGAGGAUUUUCUGGUAAACUUUCUCUGAAGAUCUAAAUUUGUAUGGGUGGCCUGUUUAUUUGUUCAGACUCCCCUUUGAUAUGAAGUAUGUAUGCCUAAGGUGUUGCACUUUAUGAAAAUGGUGGAUCUUGCAGUGGUUUUUUUUGGAUUGAGUUAAUGGGAUCUGUAUGCACUAAAACUUUUUCAUUGGUCUACUAUGAAGUCUGGGUUUGAGUUGACACUUGAAAGACAGUUGCUUUUCUCCUUACUACAUCGACUUUGCUAGGUGGAUAUGCAUUUGCUAAUGCUCGUUGGAUGAUGCUGCAUGGAUGUUGAUUGUGAUUUAAGUAUUGUGGACUCGGUUUUUGUGCAUUUCUUUAGAUUGUGUUGAUCUUGUGGGUUGUCGAACACUUGUUGCUAGCUUUAAUAAGAUGGUGGAUUUAACUCACAUAAGAAUAUGUUUGUUCACCAUCUGUUGUAGUUUAUUUAUUUUUAUUUUUUUUUCCCUUCUUAGCUAGUAACUUCUUGGGCAUGAAGCUAAUACUUAGUAUUGUAUAGUUUUCUAUGAGAAUAUUUUUUGUAAAAAUUAUUAAAUUGUGAGUUUGUACUGUUUUGUGAUAUUGAUAGUAGUAUGAUUGCUGAAUGAUUUCUGUUUCACAGUUUUUUUUUUUUUUCCUUUUUCCUUCUGGGUGUCUUCAUGUCUAUAUUGUGGAUUUAGGGAAAAAAAAAAAUUUUAACUCCGCCAGUGAGAUGCUCAUUGCCAGUCCCAAGCCUGGAUAAAGGAGGAGGGUUGCAAUAGGCUGCUUUGUUGUAUAAAUUUAUUUAUUUUUCUUAAUGAUGUGGUAUUAUCUUUACAUGGCAGUAUUAAUGCCAACUUUCCUUCUCAUUCUUAAAUUUCAUUUGUUGUUGGUUUUGCAAUGCUAAAAGUGGAAAUUAUGUAUGUAUUUUUGUUGAUUGUAUGUUGAUUACAAUUGUUAUUUUUUUUUUAUUUUUUUUUUAUUUUUUUUUUCUCUAUGGAAGCAGAAUGGAACUCUGCUAGAAGAUUGAUGUGUAUGUUUAGGAUUAUUGGUAUGAUAUCAGCAAGUGAAUUUGAUGAAACAUUAUUGGUGAAUUGGGUUGCCAUAAUGGCCUUAGAGCCUUUAAUUAUUAUUUUUUGCCUUACAAAAUUAAGUUGAUGCAUGAGGAAAUGUGUUUGCUGCUAGCCAUUGCUCUUAUAAGAGAGGUUACCUGUCACUAGUUAAUCCAAAUAUUAAGAUUCUUUUCAUGCUUUGGUUUUCUCAAGGGUAGGCCUUGCAGCUGUUAUGAUAUGGGAGUAGAUGAACAAUGAAUACUGCUCUGCAUGUUCAGGCUUUUCUGUUAGUAUGUGUCCUUCGAUUUUUCUUCCGCUGUAAAUGCAACUACUUGUCCAUUGAUAUGUGCACACCCUUGUGUCGAGCCUUUUCUAUGCCUGUGGAACUGUUCCUGUACCCAGAGAUCCUAUGUUUGUAUCCAACGUUGUUGUGUUGCCAGGUUUCGGGUCGCAUUGGGUAAGUGAAAUAAAUUGAUGCUAAUAACAAACGAUGGUUGUUAGAAGUCCAAAAUAAAUACUUAGUAUUACUAUUGUUUAUAUUAUUUAAUAAUAUUUUAAGCAUUUUGUUGUAACUGCACUUAGUUUGCUAAUUAUUGCUUUUACAUUUGAACUGCUAAGAUUGAUUACUCUAGGCCUCAAGGCUGUCGCCUAUAUUGGAUUGUUUACUUGUUUUGGAUUUAACGCUAAUAGAUAUUACUAAAGUCCAGUAUAUAUAUACAUAUAUGUUGAGAGAGGGAGAGAGAUAUAAGGCUUUUAAAAAAUAUGGGGUUCCGAUUUUGAACUAAAAGACAUUCCUAGGCUUGUUUAUAAGCCUUCAUUUUUUCAGGCGGGUUGAAUCAAGCAGAUGGGUUUGGCUAUAAAUGAUCACAUCCAUGUAUCAUGUAAUAACAACAUAACUUAAAUGAAAAUAUAUACUCCGUAGUAUUUUUGUUUUGAAUUGUUUGUAACUUUAGAGGCAGCGUGGACUCCUAAGCAAAAAUUGAGAAAUGUGGACUAUAAAUGUGUGGGGAUGUAAUUAAGGGAAAAGAGAGAAAAGGUGGAUAAUUAAUGUAAUACAAGUAUCACAUAGGGCAUUAACUUCCACACGACCACUACUUACAUAGUUGUCACUACUGGUGACACAUUUUCAUCAUUUAAACCUCCCGAAAACCACCUAAAUUAUCCAAAAUCUUGUCAUUGGCGCUCCAAAUAUCCACCCCAUUACAGUAUUCAUUUAAUGAUUAUUACUAUAAACUAUCAAUUACACUUGGCAGAUAAACAAUGUGGGACCAAAUAAAGGGUUCAGACCCUUGUCGCAGUUCACUAAUGAAGAUAUCAAGCAGGACAAUGGAAGAACAUUAGUGCAGCAGUUCAUGACUUGAAGGACAGAUUAAGGUCUCCAAAGCCAAAGCCUGUUCAACAUGCCCCUACUAUUUCUUCAGUCCCCAUGCAGCAGGUCAUGUGAAGAAUACUAUCUUGAAAUGUGAAUAUGUUGGGCAUCAAAGAAUGGAAUUUUGAAUUAGAUGUUAUCAAAAUGGUUUUUGUAGAUUUAUAACAGGAGGGUCAAGUGCUUUAGGUCUUUAGUUAGCUAUAAAUGUGUUAGCUUCUAUUUGGCUUAUUUUUACAAUAUUGUUAGCUUUAGGUGCUUCAGGUAUUUUGUUAUUUUUUCAUUUUUUUUGGAAUUUUAAUAAUUAUUAAAUGUUGAAUUGUAUUUGUUGUAAUAAAAUAGUUAAAUACAGGAUUUGGUGAAGAUAUUCAAGAGAUGACUCCAAAGUCUAAAUGCUCUAGUUUUUGGAAAUUGAAUGGCAGAUUUGUGGGUUGUGCUUAUGCAAAAUGUUGUUUUACCUAUUUGGCUUAUUUUGACAAUUUUAGACUAUAAUUUUAGGUAUUUAUUCUU
This is a long non-coding RNA of Chenopodium quinoa (quinoa), 7256 nucleotides long. RefSeq lists it as uncharacterized. The record is from RefSeq and is a predicted model, not a curated record. Lineage: Eukaryota; Viridiplantae; Streptophyta; Magnoliopsida; Caryophyllales; Amaranthaceae. The transcript has 3 exons.